CACCGGCGGCUCGAGUGGUGGCCACUUUUAUUGGGUCUAAAGCGUCCGUAGCCGGCUUGGCAAGUCCCCUGGGAAAUCUGGCGGCUUAACCGUCAGGCGUCCAGAGGAUACUGCCAGGCUUGGGACCGGGAGAGGUGAGAGGUACCUCAGGGGUAGGGGUGAAAUCUUGUGAUCCCUGAGGGACCACCAGUGGCGAAGGCGUCUCACUAGAACGGGUCCGACGGUCAGGAACGAAAGCUGGGGGCACGAACCGG
This 254-nucleotide ribosomal RNA is filed under the name uncultured microorganism. RNAcentral's name for it is "partial 16S ribosomal RNA". It matches the Rfam family "Archaeal small subunit ribosomal RNA", at positions 474 to 727 of the family's 1478-position model. The record is from RNAcentral.